Long non-coding RNA from Nymphaea colorata (pocket water lily), 1045 nucleotides. RefSeq lists it as uncharacterized. The record is from RefSeq and is a predicted model, not a curated record. The transcript has 2 exons. NCBI's taxonomy places the organism in Eukaryota, Viridiplantae, Streptophyta, Magnoliopsida, Nymphaeales, Nymphaeaceae.
UUUUGGUUCAACCUUUAUAUUUAGCUUUUGAAUACUCCUGAGCUUGUGUUAUGUUCAACGAUUUAACAGAAAUUUGUACCAAUGACCUCAUCAACAUUUAAUGCCAGCAUUGUUUCCCUCAAAAAAUAAUAAUUAUGUCCAUUGCAUGUUAUGCCAGUUCAUCUGCAGAGUACUUCCAUCUUUGCAAAUCAGUGCUCCUGCAUUCAUCAUUUUAUUGUCCAUUUUGCAUUUCAUUUGGUCUGUUGAAAUUCAAACUCAGCAGGCCUCUGCUGCUUUGUGAAGGAGUAAGAUUACUAAUCUUUAUGGGCAUUUGUGUGUGUGUCUAUAACUCUCUCUCUCUAUAUAUAUAUAUACGUGUGUGUGUGUGUGUGUGUGUGCAUUUUUUUCCUGUAAAAAUGAUUGAAUUGGACACAUUUCUCUUGGUCUGUUAAAGUUCAACUCAGCCAGGCCUCUGCUGCUCGGUAGGGCUAAGAUUUAUCAAUCUCAAGUCUGGUCCUACUGAUGGUUAGUGAAUUCAAAUGUGGGAGAGUAGUUUGUUCAUUAGGGAAUGCCCCUGCAUACUUUCAUGGCAUGCCUUGCUGUUUUCAGUAGAACAUUCUCAUCUUCAAUGUCUUUUUCCUACAUGAGGAAACUACAAUAUCUAGGAAUUUUGAUUGUCUGCAGGUAUUACACUCUUUUGUAGUUGCAGAGAGGGGUUCAAUACCAUGAAAGUACAUAUGUCUGCUGCCUUGAUCUAUUAAACUUUUAUGCAUGUCCCAUCAAAUUCCAGGUUGUGGAACUCAAUGGCAAGGUCGAAGAGCCUGGGAAGGAAAAUAUACACAACAAUGCAUUCUAUGCAAAAGAAAAGCUGCUUCAAUCUGAAUUGCAAGCAAUGUCUGACUGUAGUCCUUUGGCUGCUUGGCACUGGAUUGUAAGAUUUGCUUGUUAAUUGCACUACUUAUUUAUUUGUCACUAAAUUUGAACUUUUCCUUCCCUUGGAAAACAAUUAAGCAGUUAUACUUGUUUGUGUGUUACAAAUGAAAUCCUGUUCUCGUCUUUUGAUGUU